GGUUUUUCACCCCUGGAUGCUUCUAGUAUUUAGAGCUGAGAAGUGACUUUCUCUUCAAGAACCUGUGCUGAUUUUUUGUGCAGUGACCGCUGCAGAGCUCAACCCUGGAUCUUCUUGCAUAGCUAAGUCCCAGCCGUGCCCAUGGUGUCCCAGGAUCUCAUCGCUGCUGCUCUGAUCCUCACCUGCUUCCUCAGCUUCUGUAGCCUUACCUGCCCACAGCAGAAUCACAGGAGACUGUCCCCAGCAUCCUAAUCUAGCUGGCUCAGUGGGACACACAGGCCUCAUGUCACUUCCAAAGCUGUUAGGAUUGACUCUUUGCUCUCAAUGGAUACGUUCCUCAUGAAGUCAUUUACAAGUCAAAACCACCAUUGUCUCCUCCAGUGCUGAAGAGAAGAUAACGCAAUGUCUGAGUUCCUGCUCCCAAGUCACCUGGAGAGUUCUCCCAAGUGUGUGAGAUCUGGAGGAAUGCAGUCCAAGUAACUCUGCUGGAGCCCUGUUUCCCACCAGAGCUUCCAGACACUUUUUGGAACUCAGUGGGGAAUUAUCAGUUGGUGGAAAGUGACUUGUCCAUCUGUCUAUUUGUCUGUCUAUUUAUCUAACAUCUAUCAUCCACCAGUCUGUCUAUCAUCUACAUCUAUCUAUCCAUCUACACAUCUGUCUAUUUUUCUAAGAAUUAUUUAUUUUAUGUAUAUGAGUAUACUCUAGCUGUACAGAUGUUUGUAGCCUUCAUGUGGUUGUUGGGAAUUGAAUUUUAGGACCUCUUCUCACUCUGGUCAACCCUGCUCUCUCUGGUCGGCCCUGCUCGCUCCGGUCAACUCAGCUUGCUCCAACCCAAAGAUUUGUUUAUUAUUAUACAUCAGUACACUGUAGCUGUCUUCAGGCACACCAGGAGAGGGCAUCAGAUCUCAUUAAAGGCGGUUGUGAGCCAUCAUGUAGUUGCUGGGAUUUGAACUCAGGACCUUGGGAAGAGCAGUCAGUGCCCUUACCCACUGAGCCAUCUCACCAGCCCACAUCUGUCUAUUUAAUUAAAUAUUUUAUUUUUUUCAUUUGUGGGUAAGGGUGAGGGUGAGUGUAGGUGAAUGCCUUUACCUGCUGACUCAUAUCAUAGGCUCUAGUUAGGGUAAUUUUUUUUUAAAGAUUGAUUUCUUAUUUA
Molecule: long non-coding RNA, 1153 nt
Organism: Mus musculus (house mouse)
Lineage: Eukaryota; Metazoa; Chordata; Mammalia; Rodentia; Muridae
Product: predicted gene 28867
Exons: 3
Source: RefSeq, marked validated